UACGUAGGGUGCAAGCAUUAAUCGGAUUUACUGGGCGUAAAGGGCGCGUAGGCGGGUUUAAAAGUCAAAUGUGAAAUUCCGGAGCUCAACUUCGGAGCGGCAUUUGAAACUAUAAGUCUAUAGAGGGGUGGCGGAGGAAACGGAAUUCCACAUGUAGCGGUGAAAUGCGUAGAUAUGUGGAAGAACACCAGUGGCGAAAGCGGUUUUCUAGCUAUUUCCUGACGCUGAGGCGCGAGAGCAUGGGGAGCAAACAGG
RNAcentral lists this ribosomal RNA (255 nucleotides) under uncultured bacterium. RNAcentral's name for it is "partial 16S ribosomal RNA". It matches the Rfam family "Bacterial small subunit ribosomal RNA", at positions 524 to 776 of the family's 1533-position model. The record is from RNAcentral.